Molecule: non-coding RNA, 225 nt
Organism: Pelobates cultripes (western spadefoot toad)
Lineage: Eukaryota; Metazoa; Chordata; Amphibia; Anura; Pelobatidae
Source: the annotation of a GenBank genome assembly
GAAGACAAUGUAAUAAAGCAGCAGCAAAUGCUAGCAGAAUGCUUGGUUGUAUAGGGAGAGGCAUUCACAGUAGAAAGAGGGUAGUGCUCAUGCCAUUGUACAGAACACUGGUGAGACCUCACUUGGAGUAUUAUAUGCAGUACUGGAGACCGUAUCUUCAGAAGGAUAUUGAUACUUUAGAAAGAGUUCCGAGAACUGGUUCACGGAUUGCAGGAUACAACUUAC